CCUACGGGGAGCUGCAGUGGGGAAUAUUGGACAAUGGGGGGAACCCUGAUCCAGCCAUGCCGCGUGUGUGAAGAAGGCCCUCGGGUUGUAAAGCACUUUCAGUGAGGAAGAACGCCUGGUGGUGAAUACCCAUCAGGAAAGACAUCACUCACAGAAGAAGCACCGGCUAACUCCGUGCCAGCAGCCGCGGUAAUACGGAGGGUGCUAGCGUUAAUCGGAAUUACUGGGCGUAAAGCGCGCGUAGGUGGCUUGAUAAGCCGGUUGUGAAAGCCCCGGGCUCAACCUGGGAACGGCAUCCGGAACUGUCAAGCUAGAGUGCAGGCGAGGAAGGUAGAAUUCCCGGUGUAGCGGUGAAAUGCGUAGAGAUCGGGAGGAAUACCAGUGGCGAAGGCGGCCUUCUGGACUGACACUGACACUGAGGUGCGAAAGCGUGGGUAGCAAACAGGAUUAGAUACCCGGGUAGUC
This 465-nucleotide ribosomal RNA is filed under the name Vreelandella stevensii. RNAcentral's name for it is "partial 16S ribosomal RNA". It matches the Rfam family "Bacterial small subunit ribosomal RNA", at positions 338 to 795 of the family's 1533-position model. Lineage: Bacteria; Pseudomonadati; Pseudomonadota; Gammaproteobacteria; Oceanospirillales; Halomonadaceae. The record is from RNAcentral.